This 1018-nucleotide long non-coding RNA is filed under the name Nicotiana tabacum (common tobacco). RNAcentral describes it as "long non-coding RNA (NTAB_LNC002509)". Lineage: Eukaryota; Viridiplantae; Streptophyta; Magnoliopsida; Solanales; Solanaceae. The record is from RNAcentral.
UGCUAUGCUGAGAUCUAAUGCAGCUAUACAAGAGACUGGUACCUCACUUCAGUUUGGCAGUAGUAUCAGGGCCAUGUAACUUCUAAAAAUGUGAAGGUCCAGAGUUUCUGUUAUUUUCCCUUUAAUCACAUUUUCUUCACCUAUGUUUUGACCUGCAUCAUUGAAUACUAAUCUGUAAAGCAGAACGAACUAUAUUUUGAUGGAAAUUUUUAUUCUCUUGCAGCUUCUCAUAGUCCAAAGAACACACACCUUCUGACUUCUGUUUCCCCUGCACCAAUUGCAAAGAAGGAUUAGAUGAUUAGUCUUGAAAUAGUGGAAAGAUGACAUGACUAAGCUAAGAUUCGUGACAGUCUUAUAGAGCUGGAUACUGUUGUUUGAACCAGAGACCUUCAACCAGUGCUAUCCCAGAAUGUCAUUAUGAUAAUGCAACGAGUGGCCAAGUUUGUAACAGCUCCAUGUUUGUUGUCAUCUUGGUAUAAAGUUUAGCAUCCUCAGUUUUACUAUCUUCUGUUCUAGAAGAUAAUUCUUUAGAGACUUCAACUUGCAACAUCAAUAGUGCCACAUUCAAAACUGAUUAGCUGGGAUAUGAUUAGAGGGUAAAUAUAAGAGUAUAAUUCCACUGUUAAGGAAAUGGAGUGACCCUAAUGGUCAUAAUCCAGGAUAACUGCUGCGAAAUAUUGUCGGAUGCCUUUUAGUUCCUAGAGGAAAAGUGCUAAGCGCCAGAAUGACUUAAAAGCUCUUAAAUUCUCGGACAGUCGUUUGAUCCUUCGAACUAUUAACUGUCAAGAACUUCCAUGUUUCUAAAAGCAGUUUGAGCUUCUUUAUCUUAGCAUUUGUGUGUAGUCAUCGCCAGGAUUUGCAGUAUGAAGACAGCAGAUGGGUCUAAAAGAAUAGACUUGUCAAUAUAAGAGUGUUGUUCCUCAUUUGCUACUUUUUGUCGGGCACAGGUCAUGAAAUGAUAUUCCCAUUGAUUCCAAAAUGCUAUUGAUAAAUGCAGUCACUGCAUAAGGUUCUUGAU